This is a non-coding RNA of Oryza sativa Japonica Group (Japanese rice), 3867 nucleotides long. The record is from RefSeq and is a predicted model, not a curated record. Lineage: Eukaryota; Viridiplantae; Streptophyta; Magnoliopsida; Poales; Poaceae.
AGAAAUUGCCAGAUUCAGGUAAUGAAGAUUCUAUAAUCACCACACAAAUUUAUGCUCAUGUGUAAAUUGACUUUAGUAAAACAAUAAUUCAAUGCUACCCAAAUUUAGCUCAGCAUCGGUGACUGGAUUGAACAACAAUGACUACCAGAUAUCAAGGGGCCAGGUAAUGAGUUCUUGUUUCUUUGUUUUCUUUUUUUUUUAACUUUUUUGUCGGGAGUCAUAAUAUACUCCUUCAAGUGGAAAAAAAAAAUGAAACUGCCACCAUGGCGAAAUAAACAGUUGAAAUUUGAUCUUCAAUUUCAGGAACUCAACUUUUCUGUCGGUUUGAGUGAAACUUGCAACUAUGUGAAGGUAGACACGUACCCUCCAACCACCAUUUCAAUAUUCUAGGAUCAUUUCAGCAACAAAAAAAACAAAUUGCCAUGCAGGGUGACUUCAUGAACAUGCCAAUCCCUGAUUGUACCUUCGACGCAGCCUACGCCCUCGACGCGACGUGCCACGCCCCUGACGCUGUCGGUGUCUACAGUGAGAUCUUCCGAGUGUUGAAACCGGGAAAGUUGUUCGCGAUGGACGAGUGGUGCCUGACUGACAAGUAUGAUCCUGACAACGCGAGGCACCUGAGCAUCAAGGGGGAGCUCUAGCUCGGCAAUGGCUUGCCGGACAUCAGAACCACCAGGCAGUGCAUCCAGGCUCUGAAAGAUGCAGGCUUUGAGGUUAUAUUGGCGAAGGAUAUGGCAGAGGAAUCGCCGUUGCCAUGGUACCAGCCUCUUGAUCCCAGCCAGCUCUCGCUCACACACUUCCAGUUCACCCGUAUCGGCCGCUUCCUCGGUCAAACACUGUUGAAGUCGCUUGAGUUCCUCCAUCUUGCCCCGGAAGGAAGCCUGAGAAUCUGCAGAUUCCUUGCGACAUCGGUCGAUUCCCUCGUGAAGGGCGGGAAGUAAGUCGAUCAGCCCUGCCAUCCUCGAGCAAAUUUGAAGCAAUAAAGUUUGAAUUCAUGUCCAACUUGAAACAAAACAUUGCUGAUUGAAUGGUGAUUUUUUUGUUCCCAGGGAAGGGAUAUUUACACCCCUUUUCUUCGUCUUGGCUCGCAAACCUCUGCAGAAGCAGGAAGAACAAAUCUGAAAAGAGCAAGUGUGGUACUAGUAUCACCUUUACUACUACUUUUCUACUUUCAAUGGUGUGCCAAGUGUUUGUCAUAAAAUGCAAAACAGUUUGAUCAGAGUGUACUUGUCUGAACCUGCCUGUGAACAGUGUGUACAUGGAAAACAUUGGUUGUAAACUUAGUAAUUUUGUUAUGUGGAAUAAUUUCUGUAUGUACAUGAAUUCAAUAAAAAAAAUAUGUUCCAUCUUUCUCUUUUUCCAGUAAAUUCAACAUCAACAACAGGCGGAGUGUUUCAGUCAAUAGUAUUUCACCAAACCGGAAAUAGAACACUUUAAAGACUAUUAGGACUACUUUGAAUCAAAUGAUUUACGAUGGAAUUUUAAAGGAUUCAAAUCCUAUUUGGCUAUUUGACACAAAGGAUUGGAGCUGUCCAAAUCCUAUGAAAAUCCUAUAAAAUAACUCAUUGCAUGUAGAUUUUAGAAGAAACUUAGCAAGUGCUUCAACAUCAUGGAAAAUUCCUUUGAGUAUCUAUCUCUCUCAUUCGAUUGCAGUAUUUUUAUGCGGUCUAAUCAAACGACUAUUCAUGUGUUUUGCAAUCUUCUAUUUUGCACUUACAUUCCUAUUAAAAUCUUAUAUUUUUCCUACUCUGUUUUUCCGCUUCCAAUUUGAGUACAAAUGUCCAUGUUUACAUCGAAGUAAAAUACAGUUAAAACCUACGGGGCAUUGCAGAGUACCUGAAGUUCUGAACAUGAUCCGCAUAUUUCUGAAAUCAAAAAUAAAAAAACAACACCGAAACAUAAUUACGAAAGAAUUGACAAGAGAUGGAUGCAUCGAUGACAGCGAAAGAAUCAAACGGGAGUAGAUGCAUCGAUCAGAGCAAGUUCUAUAAUAGAGGUAACUACUGCCUUUAAUUUUAUCCAUAUCAUCCACCAAUAAAUUAAGAAGCAACGUAUACAGUAAUUCACCUCAAAUAUAUAAAUACCAAUGCCUCUAUUCCUCUCGUACCUUUUUUGGAGUUUAUGUGGUUGUUAACUUUCGCAUCAGAGCCUCCAUCUCAUCACCCAAUCAGAUGUGAUAUUCUUAGAGGCAACGCAUCAAACAUUACCAUUACAGUACUUGCUCUCAUGCAUCUGCAUCGCCACAGUAGCGACUCAAAUGCUAACAACACGUUGGUGUAUGAGUCCUCCCCUAGGCCAUACUGCAGAUCAAGUGAUCUUCCGAUCCCCUCAGACAUCUCUGGUACAGAUCGAAUGCUCCUUGAUGGCGGCACCUAGGAGGAAGCAACGUAGAUAAGUGACAAUGGCAGCGGCAGUGCAAAGAGAGGUGACUCACCUAAAACUGUUUAGGGGCCUAUCCAGGUGCGCUUUUAUGGGCCCAACUGAAAAAUGUUUAUGUGCCUGUAUUUUAUAUUGGUUUAAGCUCUAAAACUGUGUUUCUAAGUAGGCCCUUACCGCGGGUAGAGCAGCAUAUGCAUGAUUCCACGCCUACAGGUAUAAAAACAGCAAGAAUAAGAAUUUCAGAAAGAAAAGGAAGAAGCUUAAAGUUCAAAUAUAAAGGAUGAGAAGUACUAACAUACAUGAAAGAAGUUAGACUUUAGACUUAGGGAAUGUGAAGAAAUCGCAGCAUGUGCUUACUCAACAAGGGCAUGUUGUUGCAGUGAUGCAAUCGGUGAAUAGCUAAAUUAACAUGUAAAUAUCGAAUUGUUACAACAUUCUUGCGCUGGCAGUAUCCUAGCGACUAUUCGUACAUCAAAAACUCCAAAAUUGAAACUGGAACGAGUAUAGUUAGCUAUUUCUUUCAUGCUAUCCACUAUAAUACAGAAAUUAAUACCCUUAUGAAAUGAGAAUUUAGUGGAAAAUAACAACAUGGAGGGGUUAUUUAGAGUUUGACCUCGCCCUUAAAUUGCGCCCUCAUUAUAGGCUAGUGCAAGUUCUCUAAGAUGCUAUUGUACAAUCGAUUUUGUUUUGUUUUGGCCAGCAAACUCCGUAAACAUCUGGUAGAGAGAGGUGCGCGCUUGAAGAUGUAAGGGCCCAAAGAGGAAAAAAAUUUGGGCAAAGUCCUUUCUAGUGAAUCUGAUGCAGCGCUAUCCACGGACAAAAUGGCAGAACCGUGGUUUCAUACUCUGGGAGACCGUUGCACUCUACUGCGUCGGCCGUUCUUGCGUGGUCCUCCUCGCAGGGCCAAAAUACUACGGUAACAAAAUUGCUUAUACAAUGGCAUUUCCUCGUUAGGGACAAACCAUAAAAUCAGACGUUUAUCAUUUAUAUGCAGAAAACGGUGGCGAUAAUUCCGGCUAACCGAUAAUCGCUUCAAUAAUUCAUUCAACCAGUCCAGUAAUAAUUGUCUAAAACAUUGUUUAUUAGAACACCGGUAUAUCCAAAUCGAAUCCAAACACGGACAGGCGCCAGUUGAUUUCUGGCAUCUUUAGUACUCGACCAACAGAACGAAUCAGCUACAUGAGGAAGAAUAUCAUGUACAACCCAACAAAGUGACAAGGUGUAGGGACGUUGGCAUCACCACACCCUCACGGGAGAAGUUUCUGCACGAUCAGCGUCAGCAUCAAAAAGAUCUGUAGUUGGCACAGCUAACAGUUUCAGCACAAGCUACACCACUUCACAUUACGUUGGAGCAUCGUUCUCCUGCCGUUUUGCUUGAUCCCUGCCGUUUUUUUCUUGAUAGAUCUCUUGAGAAAUCGCACGGCAAAUAAAUGGGGGUAAAGCGUGCUAUCAUCUGCAAGCACCAUGGCCCGUACGACCGUGGAAUUG